GGCAUUGUGGUUUUACAUGUACACGUGUGUUAGUGUGUUGUUUUAUCUGUUGAAUAUUCAAAUAAUUUAGUGUGUAGUGUGAAAGUAGAAAGUUUUACAUGUCAUGUGAAACUUCGGAAUAUUUUUAACUUUAUUUAUAAAAUAGUUUUAUCGUCUCUGACAUGUGCUGUUUAGUAAACACCUAUUUGAACACCGCUAACCUCACUAACAAUCAGAAACAUGGACAAAUGUAUGUUUAGGCCGAUAAGAAGUCCUGGCUUUCCAGAUGUGUCAGCUACUGAUAUGGGUUAUGGAUGAAUUUUAGUGAACACAUCCAGGAACACUCGCUGAAUGCAGGUUGCAGCUGUCAGUUACAUACCCAUAAGAAUAGCGGUUGUUCGGAGUACAUUGAGGAAUAGACGAUAGUCUGGCUCUAUGAUGAAGACGGCUGAAACGCUACCAAAGCCAUUACAAGCGCAAGACUCGAGUAAACAAAGAGAAAAACAACGAAGUUUGUGAAAUAGUGUGGAACAGUAGCGUUGGUUCUGUUGUAAUUCAUUUUUACAAGCACUCCGCUCAAUUUACGAUCAAAUAAUUUUGGUUGAAUGAUCUUUCAUUAGUUGAUAUUAUGUAAUUCGCAUGUACUUUCAACCAUGUUACAUAAAAACCAUAACCACCAAAACGACAAUAACCAAUCAGGGCUAACAUUAGCUUUUAAUGUUUUCAUUCACAAAAUUAUUUUUGAUAUUUCAUGUUCACAUUUUUACAAAGGUAAUAUAGUUGGGAAGUGUUUA
Leptinotarsa decemlineata (Colorado potato beetle) is the source of this 773-nucleotide long non-coding RNA. RefSeq lists it as uncharacterized. NCBI's taxonomy places the organism in Eukaryota, Metazoa, Arthropoda, Insecta, Coleoptera, Chrysomelidae. The record is from RefSeq and is a predicted model, not a curated record.